GCUCCUGUGGCGCAAUUGGCAGUCGCGUUUGGCUAAGGACCAGAUUGUUGAGAGUUCGAAUCUCUCCAGGAGUACCA
RNAcentral lists this transfer RNA (77 nucleotides) under Candidatus Omnitrophota bacterium. RNAcentral describes it as "tRNA-Leu". It matches the Rfam family "tRNA". Rfam says of the family: Transfer RNA (tRNA) molecules are approximately 80 nucleotides in length. Their secondary structure includes four short double-helical elements and three loops (D, anti-codon, and T loops). Lineage: Bacteria; Pseudomonadati; Candidatus Omnitrophota. The record is from RNAcentral. RNAcentral also lists the same sequence under 2 other names.